RNAcentral lists this ribosomal RNA (511 nucleotides) under Wilsonema otophorum. Its description in RNAcentral is "eukaryotic LSU rRNA". It matches the Rfam family "Eukaryotic large subunit ribosomal RNA", at positions 655 to 1146 of the family's 3401-position model. Lineage: Eukaryota; Metazoa; Nematoda; Chromadorea; Plectida; Plectidae. The record is from RNAcentral.
UGAAACACGGACCAAGGAGUCUAACAUGUGCGCGAGUCAUUGGGUGCCAAACCUAAAGGCGGAAUGAAAGUGAAGGCCGACUCGAUUGGCUUAUACGGGAUCCGUAGCAAUACGGCGCACCGUAGUCCCGUCUCGACCGCUUGCGGUGGGGCGGAGACAGAGCGUACACGUUGGGACCCGAAAGAUGGUGAACUAUGCCUGAGCAGGACGAAGCCAGAGGAAACUCUGGUGGAGGUCCGAAGCGGUUCUGACGUGCAAAUCGAUCGUCAGACUUGGGUAUAGGGGCGAAAGACUAAUCGAACCAUCUAGUAGCUGGUUCCCUCCGAAGUUUCCCCCAGGAUAGCUGGAGCUCGUUAGAGCAGUUGUAUCCGGUAAAGCGAAUGAUUAGAGGCCUUGGGGACGAAACGACCUCAACCUAUUCUCAAACUUUCAAUGGGUACGAAGUUCCGGUUGCUCGAUUCGAACCGCGAACAGUGAAUGUGAGCUCCCAGUGGGCCAUUUUUGGUAAGCA